Non-coding RNA from Callithrix jacchus (white-tufted-ear marmoset), 932 nucleotides. Lineage: Eukaryota; Metazoa; Chordata; Mammalia; Primates; Cebidae. The record is from RefSeq and is a predicted model, not a curated record.
ACAAGAUGCAGGACCCCAACGCAGACACUGGGUGUAAUGCCAUCUUAUGCAAAAAGGGCACCUUGCCCCCCAGGGAAAGUCUGAAAGAAUUGGAAGAGGAGACAGAAGAGGAGCAGCACAUGGUCCAGCAGUCAGUGGUGACAAUGUGUGAAGACAUGACUGGAAGAGCUGAAGGGUCAGGAAGACGAGUUUAAUGAGGAGGAUGAACGUGCUGUUGAAAUGCGCAGACGGCCGAGACUGGCUGAGCGGAAAGCAGCUAAACUGAAGAAUAAAUGUGGAGAAGGUUUGGAGAUCUCAGGGAAGGCUUAUGUCAGGAAGUAACCAGAGCCGGUGAGGGCUUGUGGGUCAUCUUGCACCUUUGCAAACAAGGAAUUCCCCUGUGUGCCCUGAUAAAUGAGCACGUCAGUGGACUUGGCAGCAAGUUUCCUGAUGUGAAGUUUCUCAAAGCCAUCUCAACAACCUGCACACCCAACUACCCUGAUAGGACUCCGCCACGAUAUCUGUUUACCUGGAAGGUGAGAUCAAGGCUCAGUUUGUCGGUCCUCUGGUGUUUGGUGGCAUGAACCUGACAAGAGACGAGCGGCAGUGGAAACUGCCUGAAUCGCACGUGGAGGAGAACCCUAAGAAGCAGACUGAAGACGUGUUGCUGCCCUCAGUGCGGCGCUCUGUCCCCACGUGGAGGGACAGCGAUUCCGACGGGGACUGAGGCGGCAGCUGCUAUCACAUGCCGAACUUUCUGUGACAAAUUGCCUGAAUUUUUUAAAAAAGGGAGAAGCGGGAAUGAAUCCUUCUGAUUUUUAGUUUUGUAUACAUUAUGUUUUAAAUCUUUACAUUUUGGAAAUAAUCAUUGCUGGAAAUUCUGUUAAAUAUUUUGCAACUUUCUAAAUUAUAGUACCUCCUCUAAAAAAAAUUAAAACCAGCUCUUGGUAUGG